RNAcentral lists this transfer RNA (92 nucleotides) under Staphylococcus aureus. RNAcentral describes it as "tRNA-Ser(tga)". It matches the Rfam family "tRNA". From Rfam's summary of the family: Transfer RNA (tRNA) molecules are approximately 80 nucleotides in length. Lineage: Bacteria; Bacillati; Bacillota; Bacilli; Caryophanales; Staphylococcaceae. The record is from RNAcentral.
GGAGGAAUACCCAAGUCCGGCUGAAGGGAUCGGUCUUGAAAACCGACAGGGGCUUAACGGCUCGCGGGGGUCGAAUCCCUCUUCCUCCGCCA